AACGAACGCUGGCGGCAUGCCUAACACAUGCAAGUCGAACGAAGCCUUCGGGCUUAGUGGCGCACGGGGUGCGUAACGCGUGGGAAUCUGCCCUUGGGUUCGGAAUAACAGUUAGAAAUGACUGCUAAUACCGGAUGAUGUCUUCGGACCAAAGAUUUAUCGCCCAAGGAUGAGCCCGCGUAGGAUUAGGUAGUUGGUGGGGUAAUGGCCCACCAAGCCGACGAUCCUUAGCUGGUCUGAGAGGAUGAUCAGCCACACUGGGACUGAGACACGGCCCAGACUCCUACGGGAGGCAGCAGUGGGGAAUAUUGGACAAUGGGCGAAAGCCUGAUCCAGCAAUGCCGCGUGAGUGAUGAAGGCCUUAGGGUUGUAAAGCUCUUUUACCAGGGAUGAUAAUGACAGUACCUGGAGAAUAAGCUCCGGCUAACUCCGUGCCAGCAGCCGCGGUAAU
RNAcentral lists this ribosomal RNA (451 nucleotides) under uncultured bacterium. RNAcentral describes it as "bacterial SSU rRNA". It matches the Rfam family "Bacterial small subunit ribosomal RNA", at positions 29 to 524 of the family's 1533-position model. The record is from RNAcentral.